This 483-nucleotide ribosomal RNA is filed under the name uncultured Nocardioides sp. RNAcentral describes it as "bacterial SSU rRNA". It matches the Rfam family "Bacterial small subunit ribosomal RNA", at positions 8 to 507 of the family's 1533-position model. Lineage: Bacteria; Bacillati; Actinomycetota; Actinomycetes; Propionibacteriales; Nocardioidaceae. The record is from RNAcentral.
AGAGUUUGAUCCUGGCUCAGGACGAACGCUGGCGGCGUGCUUAACACAUGCAAGUCGAGCGGAAAGGCCACUUCGGUGGUACUCGAGCGGCGAACGGGUGAGUAACACGUGAGUAAUCUGCCCCUGGCUUUGGGAUAGCCACCGGAAACGGUGAUUAAUACCGGAUAUGACCAUUCUUCGCAUGAGGUGUGGUGGAAAGUUUUUCGGCCAGGGAUGUGCUCGCGGCCUAUCAGCUUGAUGGUGAGGUAAUGGCUCACCAUGGCUUCGACGGGUAGCCGGCCUGAGAGGGUGACCGGUCACACUGGGACUGAGACACGGCCCAGACUCCUACGGGAGGCAGCAGUGGGGAAUAUUGGACAAUGGGCGGAAGCCUGAUCCAGCAACGCCGCGUGAGGGAUGACGGCCUUCGGGUUGUAAACCUCUUUCGGUGGGGACGAAGCGCAAGUGACGGUACCCACUAAAGAAGCACCGGCCAACUACGUG